UUGGUUUUACACAAUUCACUUAACAAAAUUACUGAACUGCCUUUUUAUACUUUUGACUUAAGACAUUUCUUUAACGUUUACCAUAAUUCAUUAUUAAAGAAACAAGGAAAUAUAUUUAAGCAUCAUACAUCAUAUCUAUAAAAAUUUAUUACAAUACAUAGGUUUAAUAAAACAGACUCAUAUGGCGUAAUCCUACAAUACGCCACUAUCCAAACAGGUCCAUUGUAUGCAUAGUUUUCCAUGUUUGUCGCUUCUCUAGCGUCCUGGCUUGUCCCUCUCGGUGGACACACUUAAACAACAACACCUGAAAUAUAAACAUAACAUUUUGUAAGUUCAGAGGAACUUAGUGAGAUUGGACACAAUAUUCCUUUUUAACUAAUCAUGUUGAAUUCCUCAUCUUGAAUAUUUGGAUUUCCUCAUAUCUAUCUUUGGUAGAUACCUUCACAUUGUCAAUUUAAUGAUCGCAUACUUAUACACCACUUACAAUUCUUAACGUAUCAUUCAUCUAACUGCUUGGCUAUCUCUAGAUCUUAACUGACGAUACUACCUUUUUCUUUUCUCUUCAGACAAUUUUAAACAGGUAUUCUAGAACAGUUAAUCGCAAACAUCAUUCUUAGCGAAUAUGUAACACCCCUAACCCAUAUCCGUCGCUGAAACAUGGUUAUAAAGCAUUAUCAAAAUUUACAGAUCAAAUACAAAUAUUUCAUAACAUUUAACAUUCAUGUUAGAUAUUAUUCAUAAAGUCCCUUAUAUGAGCCCUCGAGGCCCAAAAUAUGCAUUAGAAACAAGUCGAGACUAAAUUGGGUAAUUAAAGAAUUUUUCACGAAAUCUCAAAAUUUUUCCUAGGUGCAGGGGUUACACACCCGUGUGGUCAGGCCAUGUGGUUCACACACUGUUUUCAGGAACAUCAAUCAGAAACAAUCUAUCUAAAUGGACUUGUAUGAAUUGAUAUUAGAGACUCACCUUGCUGAAGGUCAAAAUCCUCAAUUUUGAACGCCUUUCACGAACCUGCAGCAUCAACUGCUUAAAAAAACAUGGAUUCACCAUUAAAACCCAUUUACAAACAAAUUGGUAGCAUCUCAUCUAUAGAUAGCCCCCAUGCAAGACCUCUUAAUCAUAACUUGCUACAUAUAUAUAUAUAUAUAUAUAUAUAUCAUAAUACCCUUACUCUUAAAAUGCAAAGUUAUCAGAAUUACUAAGAGAUAGAACAUCCUCUGAUUAUUCCCAAAAUUUUUAACUUUCAGUCUAAUGAGGAAAGAUGACAUUUAAAAGAAAGAA
Molecule: long non-coding RNA, 1278 nt
Filed under: Gossypium raimondii (Peruvian cotton)
Lineage: Eukaryota; Viridiplantae; Streptophyta; Magnoliopsida; Malvales; Malvaceae
Description: long non-coding RNA (GRAI_LNC005405)
Source: RNAcentral